AGCAUCUUGGCGCAGCAGGAAGCGCGCAGGGCUCAUAACCCUGAGGUCCUCCGAUCGAAACGGAGAGAUGCUA
This 73-nucleotide transfer RNA is filed under the name Blakeslea trispora. Its description in RNAcentral is "tRNA-Met". It matches the Rfam family "tRNA". Rfam says of the family: Transfer RNA (tRNA) molecules are approximately 80 nucleotides in length. Their secondary structure includes four short double-helical elements and three loops (D, anti-codon, and T loops). The record is from RNAcentral. RNAcentral also lists the same sequence under 1 other name. Lineage: Eukaryota; Fungi; Mucoromycota; Mucoromycetes; Mucorales; Choanephoraceae.